AUGACAGAAGUUCAGGUUGAGCUCGAUUGUCAGUGCCUAGUGAACGCCCUGCAAGGCAGUGAUGCAGAUUUAGUAGCCGAGGGUAUCUUAUUCAGAGAAAUCCGACACUUUGCCCGUCUGAAUUUCAAUCACGUCUCCUUUUUGUUUGCCCCGAGGGCCUGUCAUAACUUAGCUCGUCUAAUAGCAGCUUUUGGUGCCCGUAGGCUUGUUAGUCGGGAACUAUGGCCUGAGAGCCUCCCGGAUGAUGUAUUGGUUCGUAAGGCCAGCGGCAUGGCUGGACCUGUGUGA
Molecule: ribosomal RNA, 288 nt
Filed under: Triticum aestivum (bread wheat)
Lineage: Eukaryota; Viridiplantae; Streptophyta; Magnoliopsida; Poales; Poaceae
Description: partial small subunit ribosomal RNA
Source: RNAcentral